GGUCAGAUGGCCGAGUGGCUUAGGCACAGGUCUGCAAAACCUGAUACGGCGGUUCGAAUCCGCUUCUGACCUCCA
This 75-nucleotide transfer RNA is filed under the name Mucilaginibacter polytrichastri. RNAcentral's name for it is "tRNA_Cys_GCA". It matches the Rfam family "tRNA". From Rfam's summary of the family: Transfer RNA (tRNA) molecules are approximately 80 nucleotides in length. Lineage: Bacteria; Pseudomonadati; Bacteroidota; Sphingobacteriia; Sphingobacteriales; Sphingobacteriaceae. The record is from RNAcentral.